AUGCAUGUCUAAGUACGGCUCUAGUACGGUGAAACUGCGAAUGGCUCAUUAAAUCAGUUUUGGUUCAUUUGAUCGUAAACAUUUACAUGGAUAACUGUUGUAAUUCAAGAGCUAAUACAUGCUAAAAGUGAGAGUCUUUGAUUCUCAUGCUUUUAUCAGAUCAAAACCUUUCGUCUUCGGGCGUUAUCGUUGUGGCGAGUCUGGAUAAUUUUAGCUGAUCGCAUGGUCUCGAACCGGCGAUGGAUCAUUCAAGUGUCUGACCUAUCAACUUUCGAUGGUAGCGUAUUGGUCUACCAUGGUUGUAACGGGUAACGGAGAAUUAGGGUUUGGUUCCGGAGAGGGAGCCUGAGAAACGGCUACCACA
This 364-nucleotide ribosomal RNA is filed under the name Appendicularia sp. clade 4. RNAcentral describes it as "SSU rRNA". It matches the Rfam family "Eukaryotic small subunit ribosomal RNA", at positions 51 to 414 of the family's 1831-position model. The record is from RNAcentral. Lineage: Eukaryota; Metazoa; Chordata; Appendicularia.